This 1045-nucleotide long non-coding RNA is filed under the name Ananas comosus (pineapple). RNAcentral describes it as "long non-coding RNA (ACOM_LNC030047)". The record is from RNAcentral. Lineage: Eukaryota; Viridiplantae; Streptophyta; Magnoliopsida; Poales; Bromeliaceae.
AAAAAAUAUAAUGAAUUGCAUAUCUAUACCAAUCUAUACCAAUACAUGAUUUCUCAUGGUCAAAUCCAACGUGGAUGCCCGACCUUAAUUUGAGGAUGGUGAUACUCACUAUUUAUUUUAAAUUUUUCUCUAUUCUUUUUUAUCUUAGGAAAACCCUCCCUCUCCCUCACAGCCACAUCAUUUAACUUUUUUCUCUCUCUCUUUUUUCCAAAUCGUAACUCUUACUUUUUUUUAUUUCCCAAACUCAAUCUUACCUUUUUUUUUUAUUUCCCAAACUGACAGUGGCAUCUCUCUCUUCCCUCAUCUCAUCUAUGAAGCGGUUUGGGUGGAAGGUUUUAUAUCUCUCCCUCCAUAAUUUUAGAAUUUCUUUUUCUCUCAUCCUUUUCCUCUUGCUCGCUACUCGGAGCCCUUCGGCUCUCAUCCGUUGUUCCUCAUGCAUCCUCAAAAAGGAUGGUGUAUGGUGCCAUCACUGUCUGCCCUAUUCUUAACAAUCAUGAAAUAUCCAUAUUUUUAUAUUUUUAUUUCUGUUAUAAUUUUUUUUAUUAUCUACCCGUUGUAUAGUGCUGGUUAUUUCACUAGUAUAUAUAUAUAUAUAUAUAUAUAUAUAUAUAUAUAUAUAUAUAUAUAUAUAUAUAUAUAGUAGGUCUUGUGUGCUAUUAGGAGCACGAAAGUCUCCGUGCUCCUAAGUCGUUUUCGAUGAUAAAGCUUCCGAAUCGACGAUCGGCUCUAUUAGGCUUGAUCUAGCAUAUUUAAAGUAUCUAGAAAAUAAAUUUUGUGACUUUUCUAUAUUAUUUACCUAACGAUCGAAAGGGUUCAAAAUCAAUAAUUUUAAUUUUCUUUCUAAUUAUCUAUCCGUCACAUCGCACGAAUUACUACAUGUACGUAGAAAAUGAUCAGUAGAGCAAAUUUUAAUUUUAAUUUUAUUUCAAGAAAUAGGUAGCGCGCUACCCGCUUCAUUCAUUAGGAAAAUGAACUAGGCUUACAUAAUGGAGGCAGCCAAGGCCUCCGAAAAAUUUUAAUUUUAGUGUAUAGUUUAUUUUGUCUG